AUGGGUCAAAGUCAGAGUGUGGUCAUGUUCCUGGAGGUGGCAAGAAAGAUGACAAGGACAAGAAAAAGAAAUAUGAACCUCCUGUACCAACUACAGUGGGGAAAAAGAAGAGAACAAAGGAACCAGAUGCUGCCAGCAAACUGCCACUGUUGACACCUAACACUCAGUGCCCAUUAAAAUUACUGAAGUUAAAGAGAAUGAAAGACUAUCUUCUCGUGGAGGGAUAAUUAAUUAGAAAUCAGAAACUAAUGAAACCAUUAGAAGAAAAGCAAGAGGAGGAAAGAUCAAAAGUGGAUGAUCUGAGUGGGACCCCAAUGUCAGUAGGAACUUUGGAAGAGAUCAUCAGUGACCAUUAUGUGUGCAUCUGUGGGCUGAGAACACUACGUCAGCAUUUUUUUCAUUUGUAGACAAGGAUCUGCUGAAACCUGGAUGCUUGGUCCUGCUCAGCCACAAGGUGCAUGCUGUGAUGGGGUGCUGAUGGAUGACAUGGAUCCCCUAGUCACAGUGAUGAAGGUGGAAAAGUCCCCCCAGGAGAUCUGUGCCAAUACUGGGGUGUUGGACAACCAAAUUUAGGAAAUUAAGGAAUCUGUGGAGCUUCCUCUAACCCAUCCUGAAUAUUAUGAAGAGAUGGGUAUAAAGCCUCCUAAGGGGGUCAUUCUCUAUGGUCCACCUGGCACAGGUAAAAUCUUGUUAGCCAUAGCAGCAGGAAACCAAACCUCCACCACUUUCUUGAAAGUGGUUGGCUCUGAACUUAUUCAGAAGUACCUAGGUGAUGGGCCUGAAUUUGUAUGGAAAUUGUUUUGAGUUGCUGAAGAGCAUGCACCAUCCAUUGUGUUUAUUGAUGAAAUUGAUGCCAUUGGAACAAAAAUAUAUGACUCAAAUUCUGGUGGUGAGAAAGAAAUUCAUUCAGUGAACAAUGUUGAAACUGUUGAACCAGUUGGGUGAAUUUGAUCGUAGGAGAGAUGUGAAAGUUAUCAUGGCCACAAACUGAAUAGAAACUUUGGAUCCAGCACUUAUCAGACCAGGCCACAUUAACAGAAAUAUCGAGUUCCCCCUUCCUGAUGAAAAGACUAGGAAGCACAUCUUUCAGAUUCACACAAGCAGGAUGACGCUGGCUGAUGAUACAACCCUGGACGAUUUGAUUAUGGCUAAAGAUGACCUCUCUGGUGCUGACAUCAAGGUAACAUGUAGAGAAGCUGGUCUGUGGCCUUAAGAGAAUGUAGAAUGAAAGUAACAAAUGAAGACUUCAAAAAAAUCUAAAGAAAAUAUUCUUUAUAAGAAACAGGAAGGCUCCCCCGAGGGGCUCUAUCUCUA
This 1314-nucleotide long non-coding RNA is filed under the name Homo sapiens (human). RNAcentral describes it as "non-protein coding lnc-TBX15-6:1". Lineage: Eukaryota; Metazoa; Chordata; Mammalia; Primates; Hominidae. The record is from RNAcentral.